Amphiprion ocellaris (clown anemonefish) is the source of this 2364-nucleotide long non-coding RNA. The record is from Ensembl. Lineage: Eukaryota; Metazoa; Chordata; Actinopteri; Pomacentridae.
CUAUGACCUCUCACCACUCUGUCUCUCUUUUUUCUUCUCCCUCUCUGUUUUUUGCACUCCCACCCUUUCCACCUAAUGAACAGACUCCCUGUUUAACACUGUAUGGCGGUGCCAGAUUCAGUGCCACGCCCUCUUGUGGACAACACCAGUGCUAACACCCUCCAGCCUGUCCCUCAGCCCACCAGAGUGCUGCUCUGCCUGUAGACCAGCAGGGUGCCAACCCAGGAAGCAGUCCAGAUGGCCGAAUUAUCGCAAGUCAACAUGGAGGGGGAGCAGGGGAGAAGAACACAACACAGUCACACAGUUUUGUCUUGGACCAAAGAGCAUCGCUGGCUCAUGUGUUACAUUGUGUGCAGUGAGCGCUUGAAAUGGAGCAUCUCAGAUCUUCUUCCUGUCUGACAUUGCCCUAAAGUGUGCACAAGUUUGUGUGACUGCCCAGAUGCGCUCCUCCUCCUCCUCCUCCUCCUCCUCCUCCUCCUCUUCGCUCCACACAGCAGACAGGGCUCUGAUCAGCCUUGUGUGGUCUUCUCAGAUGGAGCCUGAACAUGAUCUCUUUCCAGGGGAAACGGUUUGUUUUCUCUGCCCGGCUUGCACAAAGAGCCACAUUGUUCCUCACCCCAUAUCCCACGCUGACUCCCCACUCCAGGUUUUGGGUUACCUGGCCGACGGGGGCUCAGACUUCAGGAGCUUUUUUAUUUUUUUGACCGACAGCCAGGAAUAUAGUAUACCCUUCUCUCCUCCACCUAUCCGCCCAAUCUAAAUACGGUACACACCAGUGCUGAGGUUUUUAUCCCUCACAACUGAUUGCCUGUGACUCCCAACGCUGCUCACUUCCUUCAAGGGAGGAGAGAAAUUCUGCUGAGAUUAAGACUUUAUCCGCGGGCAGUUUACUCACUGUGUAGAGAGUCAGGCUCGGCUGUUAAGACAUAGGAUUGAAUCCCCGAGGACAGCUCCUCGAAAACAAUCUACACAGAAUAUACGAGGGCACACCUGCUGAUGCACACAAACUGAGAUGGUCUGUGAACACUUUAGUCGUCUUGAUGACGCUGGUACAUAAAUGUGUGAUUUACAGAUCCAAUAUUCACCAAAUCUUUUAUGGCAAAUCAGAAUGUGAAUCCGUUCCAUGCAUGUUUUCUUUAAAAACAUUCACGGGACACGACAGUUUAACUAUUCAGACUGUUUUUCUCCACAUUAUUGGCUCCGAUCAGACAAUUCUGACAACAAAAGGCGGUUUUGCAAUUUUACCAAAUGUGGUGUUAUACUCAAAAGCAUCAAAUGCUGUGGUGUGCAGCGAUCAGUAUUACAGUUCAAGCUAUUGGGGAUACCUAAUGAGAUUUGAUCCACUUAGAGGCUUGUCAACACUUGUUCCCUUUGUACGAUUUCAGUUUUCUAGUUGAAAUCUACACAGAUACUAUUUGAUGUUAUAUUAACUUAUGGAUGAUGCAUAUGUAGAUUUUCACACAAAAAAAUAGCUUUAUUUCUUCACUUGUUUCUUUGGUGAUUGUAUCGUGUGAGUGCCGAAGCUCUUAAAUGCCCCCUUGUCUAUAUGUUUAUAUGCUGUAUCCCCACUAGAGAGCAGUGUUUACCUUUGUAACUUUGCACCUGCCCUGUUUUUUUUUUGACAAGAAAGCACCAGGAGGCCCCAUAGGCAGUCUGCUAAACACAACACAACACUGCACUGGGUGCCAUCUGACUCACAUCCAAUGCCAAGCAGACAGCUAUUCCUUCACAUCUUGCCAUUAUUUCAAACAUCCGUGUCAUAUCCAGGAUGUAGUCAGCAGCUUCUUCUACACACUCAUCAUGACCUAGAAAAUGUCCAAAUGUGACCCACCCACCCUGCCAUCAUUCCAAAACUACCUAACCUGUUUGUGUAUAUGUGCCUGCAGAGGAAACACACUUCCCCGUUGCCCCACUCAUUCCAGCCUACAUCGUCACCCACAAGUCAUCAUGCCAUAAUAUCAGUGUCAUCCUCAGCCGGCGGGGAGACUUUGUCAACAGCUAGUAUGAGUCAGUGAUGACAUCACUCCAUACGAAUAGCUGCAGUGUCAACAAGUGGUUCUGAACUCCAACACCACAGGCCAAAAGUCACAUUAUUAAGACUGCCAUUACUUUGAUUUGCUUUUUUUCCCCCAAUCAUUGCCAUUUCUCACCUGACACAAUGCUAAGUUGCGACAAAAAUGACUUCAGACGUUUUGUUGUUGCCUGAAAUGCAUAGGUAGGCUACUUUCUGACCUCCAUUUUCCAACAUUUAGCCCACUGUCUGGAUUUAAACUGUCUCACUGUUUGUAUUUGAAUAAAGAUUAAGUAACCAAGAGCUUUGGUGGAGACCUCUUUGUAAAGUAAAAAUAAAUAAAAGUUAUUCUA